RNAcentral lists this transfer RNA (71 nucleotides) under Liolaemus lemniscatus. RNAcentral describes it as "tRNA-Tyr". Lineage: Eukaryota; Metazoa; Chordata; Lepidosauria; Squamata. The record is from RNAcentral.
UGAUAAAAAGAGGACUUAAACCCCUGUUAGUGGGUCUACGGCCCACCGCCUAAACUCUCGGCCAUUUUACC